UUCACCUCCAUUGACAACCAUUAACGAGACCUUCGGAGCUUCACAAAAUCACACCAAAAUCACAAAUCACCCUCUAAAUCUUACACUAAACACUUCCACCUCCUUGAAUUCAAGAAGAGCUUUGGAGUUUGAUCUUCAAAGUUAGAGAGAGAAAGUUUGGUUUUGGGUGUAAGUUUGGACACGAGCAGAGCAAGGAAGUAAGUAACUCCGCUUUGACGGGAGAUUUUGAGUAAGGUCUUCAGGCUAAGCGGGGAGCGAGAUUGGUCUGGUGCUGGUGGGGAACCGUUUCAAUCGAUGUGAUCAUAUUUAAUAUUGCCGUUAUGAUUGAUAGAGUCUUGAUGAUUAAAAAUACUUCGUUUCCUUUCGAAUCAAGUAAUAUACUCACGGUUAUGUGUCUUCAUACAUAUAAUCGGUUCGCCUUUUGCUGCGAUACUCUGCAUAUUAUGUUUCCUUAUGAAAAAUAAGCUAUACCUGUUUUGUUUUUGUUCGUGAAAUUCCUGAUAAUUAAAAAGUUAUAACGACGUUGACGAUUUUA
Molecule: long non-coding RNA, 535 nt
Organism: Salvia miltiorrhiza (redroot sage)
Lineage: Eukaryota; Viridiplantae; Streptophyta; Magnoliopsida; Lamiales; Lamiaceae
Exons: 3
Source: RefSeq, a predicted model, not a curated record